UUAUUUAUUUAUUUUUAAGGUUGUGUUUUUAAAAAAACAUUAUGGGGGCUAAAGGUUUACAUGAAAAUAUACAUGGAUUUUUCAAUGAAAGUGGCAGAAAAAGUGGGUUCAAAAACAUUUUUAAAAGGCAAUUUUUGGAGUCCUCUCUCCAUAUAUUCUGUGAGCAAAGUUACAAACUACAUGUUAUUCUGACAACUUCAGCUAUGAUAAAUAAUUAUUAUGAGUCCUGUGUUUAAAAGUGUGCUAAAUUUGGCUCCAGGCAUAGUGAUGGGAGGGUCACACUGGUAUUCUGGCAGUGUUGCCACACUAACAUUCAUGAGAAAACUCAAAUGGUGGUCCUGCCAAUAUUUCGGUUAAAUCUUAAGUAUUUACUGCUGACAUCUGAAUGAACUCUAGAAAUAACUGACAGUGCUGCAGAGUAUCAAAAUAUUAUUAAUAGUGGCAAGAGUUCAUAUUUUGAUGAGGUUAAUCUCUCCAUUGAAGAAGUUUUACCAACAAAAAGUUACUUUGGUCAGAUACUACCUUUUAUGUACCAAACACACAACCCAUCUCUAUAUUUAAAACAAAGUGCUUGUGUGUGUGUGUGUGUGUGUGUGUGUGUGUGUGUGUAGGGGCAUUUCUUUAAAGCUACAUAUAAAAUGACAGCAGUAAUGACCUCUGGGGAAAGGAAGAGGGAAGUAGGGCUGGGUAUCAAAGAAAAUUUCAACUUUAUUGGCAAUAAACUUUUUUAAAAAGAGAAUGUACUCAUACUUCUAUCUAAAAAAUAUAUAUUAUACACAUACAUAAAAUUAUGUCUAUAAAUAUCUGUAUAAAUCUAUAUAUACAGAUUUAAUUUUUAAAUUAGAAUUAAAAUUCUCUCACAAAAUUAGACAAAGGGUUCAACUAGUUCUGGCCUCCCUAUAGAUUUAAUCAAAUUGGUUAACUCUAACUUUGAGUACUCUCUACAACUCUUUCAGAGCCUCACUUUUCCAUCUAUAAAAUAGUAAAAUAAUACAGAUGUAUCUCAUGAAGUAUGCCAAGUUCACUCUCAAUAAAUACAUAUCUGUAGAAACACUUCAUAUCAUGUUAUUAGUCUUAAUAUUAGCCUUAAUAUUUCAUGUUUAGCAUGUAAUAAGGUCUAUUCUUUCUGCCUUAAUUAGUUUUCUCCUUUGCAAGGGCAUAGAUCUCUUUCUUAAGCCUAAGGUGGAAAUGUAAGAGUUAUCGGCUGCUCUUGUUAGUAGGGCUUCUGGCUCAAGUAUCCCUGCCACAGAAAAGAAUGUAGGACUGGGAAGGGAGAGGUGUCUUAAGGCACAUCCUAGCUGAUAAAAUGAUUACUUUAAAAAAGUUCCAGACAAAUAGAUCAAAUUAGAAAAUAUUAAAAAAAAAAACAGUACCACCAGGUGUCACUGUAACCUAAAGCAAUGUUGGUUGUUUCUCUAUUCAGUUGGAAAGAAAUGUACAUUACGUGCAAACAAGUACUAUCUUACAAGGCUUUCCUUGUCAUUAAUUUAUAUUAUCAUAGUAAAGUACUGCUACUAAAUUCUAAACAAAUUUCUAAAUAAAUUUCUAAAUAAAUUUCUAAAUAAAUCAACAAAACUUGAUUUUUAAAAAAUUUAUAAUUAAUGAUACUAAAUGAUUUAAAAUGCAGUAGGUAGAUCUUUGGAGGUCAAGAAUUUUAUAUUUUCAGUUUUGCCUUUUGAGAAGCAAACCUGAAGUCCAUGAUAAUAAUGAUGGUGUAUCAUUUGACUAAGAUUUUAUCAGAGAAUGAAUGAGUCUAGUUGACUGCCCAGCACUUUUCUUGUUCUUUACUGGAUAUUUGGUAUACUUCUUAAAUUAAUAAUAAUAAAAAAAAGUUGGAAAUUCUCAUAACUGAUAAAAUUAUAAUUAUGAAUUAUAAGAUUUUAGAGACAUAAUUCAUUUUAAUAACUACCCAGGGAUUUUAACAUCAAUUUUAUUCUUUUCAUCCCUUAAUCUCUUGAAGAUAUAGGAAUGCUUAAAGCAAAAUGUAAAACAUGGUAUUUUGGGUUUUAAAAUAUACAUAUGUAAAAAAGCAAAAAUAGAAAUAAAACUAAAAUAUACAGAUGUAAUAUACAUGGCAAUAACGACAGAAAGGAUGGAGGGGAGAUAAAUGAAACUAUAGAGUUGUAAGAUAUAUAUAUGUGUGUAUAUAUAUAUAUACAUAUAUACAUUUCCAAAAUUACUUCAAUAAUAAUUUUAAGUUGAUCAUGAUAAAGAAGCAUAUUGUAAUCCCUAUAGUAACUAUUAGAAGAAUAAUGCAAAGAAAUAUAGCUAUAAAAGCCAACAGAAGGGGACCUGGGUGGCUCAGUGGUUGAGCAUCUGCCUUUGGCCAUGGCGUGAUCUGAGGGUCCUGGGAUCAAGUCCUGCAUCAGACUCCACAUAGGGAGCCUGUUUCUACCCUCAGCCUAUGUCUGUCUCUCUCUAUGACUCUUGCGAAUAAAUAAAUAAAAUCUUAAAAAAAGUAAAGCCAACAGAAUUAAAAAGAUAUACUACAAAAUAUUUGUUUAACAUGAAAGAAGGUAGGAAAGGAACUAGAAAUAUGACACAAUUGGAAAACAAAUAGGAAAGGGGCAGACCCAAAUUCAACUAUAUCACUAGUUACAUUAAAUGUAAAUGGAGUAAAUACUCUAAUCAAAAGACAUACAUUAUUGGGCCCAAGUUGUAUAAAAAGCCGGACUCAACUAUAUACUAUCUGUAAGAGAUACACUUUAAAUAUAAAAACACAAAUAGGUUGAAAGUAAAAGUUUGGUAAGAUAUACAAUAUGCAUAAGCAAACUUUAAUGGCUAUAUCAGGAACAGAUAAAGCAGACCCCAAGAAGUAUUAUGAGAGUCAAAGACAUUUCAUAUUGAUAAAAGAGUCAAUACAGCAGAAACUUAUAACGAUUAUAAGUGUAUAUAUGUAUCUAAUAAUAGAACUCAAAAAUAUAUGAAGCAAAAAAAUUAGGAGACUUCAAAGGAGAAAUAGACAAUUACUAUUAUAGUUAAGUUGAUGACUUAAAUAUGCUUCUUUCAGUAGUAGACAGAACACACAGACAGAAAAUCAGUAAUGACAGAGCUAUACAACACUAUGAAACAGAUUGGUUUAAUUAAUAUUUAUAGAGCACUCCACCAAACAACAGAACACAUAUUCUUUUCAAGUACACACAGAACAUUAAUCAAAAUAGACUGUGUUGAACCAUAAAACAAAUUUCAAUACAGUUAAAAGGACUGUAUUUAUACAGAAGAUGUUCUCGGACUACAAAGAAGUUAAAAUAAUAAAAGGAUAUCUGUAUAAUCCCCAAAUAUUUGGACAUUAAGCAAAAUAUGUGUAAACAACCAAUGAGUCAUAAAAGAAAUUACAAGAGAAUAAGAAAGCAUUUUUCACUGAAUGAAAAUGAAAACACAUCAAAAUUUGUGGGAUACAUUUAAGACAUGUUUAGAAGGAAAUGUAUGUAUAUGCUUAUAUUAGAAAUGUCUAUAUUAGAAAAGAAGAAAAUUCAUUUCUCUUAAAUGGGCUUCCAAAUUUAAUAACUCCAGUUCUUUUAUAUUCUGCUAGAUGGAGAUGCUGAGUCACUGACAGAUUUCAAAAAUAUUUUGGUUGGUAUGUAUUUCACAUUACCUUUGUGAUUAGAGGAAGAUAAGGAGCAAAGAAGUAUUUACUGUGUGCCUACUAGGCCACAAAAGGUGUACUUAAAAGAAAAGGCUUUUUUUCCUUCUUCUGAGAUUGAGGUUAUCCAGAGUCACAGAACUAGUGAGUGAUGGAGAAGCUCAGAUUUGGGUCUGCCUGAUGUUACAGCUCAUACUCCUACUAUACAGCAGGAUGCCUGAAUUCUUGAUUGGUACUCAACCUGUGUUCCACUAUGGCUCCUAUAUUUCCUUUUGCUUAAACUGUUCAGCUUAUUUCCCAUUAUUAUAGUUUGUUUCUUAUUAAUGAAAUCUGUUAUGAUUUAUUCAUUGUCAAUUAAUGAAAGACAAAGCAAAUGUUUCUAUUUGUCAUGUUAUUGCUUUUAGGUUAUAAAGUCAUAAUGGGGGAUCCCUGGGUGGUGCAGCAGUUUAGCGCCUGCCUUUGGCCCAGGGCACGAUUCUGGAGACCCGGGAUCGAAUCCCACAUCGGGCUCCCGGUGCAUGGAGCCUGCUUCUCCCUCUGCCUAUGUCUCUGCCUCUCUCUCUCUCUCUCUGAUGACUAUCAUAAAUUUUAAAAAAAAAACAACUUAUAAAGUCAUAAUGGAUAACUCAUGUUUACCACAUUAUACUAACUGCUGCACAAUGCUUCCAUGUAGAUAGGCAGAGGUAUUAGAUGCACUUCAGGAUGAUGAGAGCAUGCUUUCACCACUUAGAUUUCCUUCAGGAAAUACAUCUGGUACAGUAUGUUUGAAACUCUAAUGCCAUCAAUUACUGUCAACAUUGAAUAUUAUAAAUUUCCCAAAUAGAAAAGGAAAAUGCAUUGAUUAAAAUUAAUUCCACUGAAUUACCUGAAUAAACUACAUAACAGUUCUGGGUUAUCAUGACUGAUCAGACUUUAAUAAUAAUAGCUAACAGUUUUGAGUGCUUUUCAUAUUCUGAGCCCCAUGGCAAAUGCUAUUUACCAUAGCAUAGUUUGUAAAUAAACCCACACAGAUGAGGAAAUUGAGGAUUAAGCUUGCUCUAUCUAACCUGAGUUAAAAUAUAAACUCAAGUUUGCCUUUCUCAGCAUCUAUGUAAACAUGCACACCCUAAACAGGGAAAGUAUGAAAGAAUGGAAGUGUAUCCUGGUUCUAAAAGCUUUAUAUUAAUAUCUAUUGAUACUAGAAAAGUACAAGAGGAUCAGAUAUAUUUGGAUACUUUACAGGCUCUUACAACUUCAUGGGAUAUUAUAUACAAUUUCAAGUUAAUUCUUUGGGGAUCAUGCAAUGUCUUUAUUUUUCCUUGACUAUCAAUGUUUCAAUAUGCAAUAAGGAAGUCAAGAAAUGCUUGCUUCCACAGAGAUGAGCAUGUAACUCCCAAAAGAAUAAAUACAAAUGAUAACAUAUAGAGAUCACUACUUUUUUGUAAUUAAAAGAUUCAAGUAAAUGAGUUUUUGGCACCAGCAAGUUGAAACUACUAAAUUAGCAACAUUUAAACAUACACAUGGCAUAGGCAUGGCUGCAGCAAAUCUGUUAUAUUUUUGUGUAGAUAAAAAAUCUGUUUUUGACUUGGUGAUAUUGCUUAAUUUAGUUUACCAUAAAAAAUAAAGGGAUUGAAUAAAAAACUAUAUGAAAAUAUUUGUCAUCAAAAUGAAAACAAUUUUAACAGUACAGUAAUUUGAUACAGUGGUAUAUCAACAAGAUGUAGUCAUUUAAGUGAUCAAUGUAUUAAGUACAACAUAUUUUCAAAAAGCACAACACUACUUUCAAUGUACCACAUGACUACAUCUGUACAAAAAUGGGAGACACUCCACAAUAGCCAAAAUAUAGAAAGAGCCCAGAUGUCCAUUGGCAGGUAUAUGAAUAAAGAAGGUGAUGUAUAUAUACAUACACACACACACACACACACA
This 5488-nucleotide long non-coding RNA is filed under the name Canis lupus familiaris (dog). Its description in RNAcentral is "lncRNA (ENSCAFG00000057878.1)". The record is from RNAcentral. Lineage: Eukaryota; Metazoa; Chordata; Mammalia; Carnivora; Canidae.